Molecule: long non-coding RNA, 343 nt
Filed under: Rhinopithecus bieti (black snub-nosed monkey)
Lineage: Eukaryota; Metazoa; Chordata; Mammalia; Primates; Cercopithecidae
Description: lncRNA (ENSRBIG00000045434.1)
Source: RNAcentral
UAUAUAUAUAUUCCUAGCCCUCAACACCUGAGACGUGAUUUUUUUAUUACCAUUCUCUCCAUGCAAGGAUGCAAGUUCCAUGAGGUCACUAAGUGAUUAUUGGCUCCCCAGAGUCUAGAAGUCUAGCACAGUAGACCAUCAAAUUAAAUGAAUGAAGGAAGGAAGAAAGGAAUCAUCUCCUUCUCUUAGAAGGCUUUUCUGCCCUCUGCCUCUCCUCAUUUAUCCAAGAUACUUCAACAACAGAGGAAAGCUUUCCCUAAGAUCAGCACUUGGGGGUGGGAGUGGCCAGGGUCAGAUGUGGCAGUGGCAAGGGUAUUGCCUACAACACACACCUACACGCUGA